This 69-nucleotide transfer RNA is filed under the name Marmota monax (woodchuck). Its description in RNAcentral is "tRNA.Ala". The record is from RNAcentral. Lineage: Eukaryota; Metazoa; Chordata; Mammalia; Rodentia; Sciuridae.
GUUUGUGGCUUAGCGGUAGAGCACUUGCCUAGCAUGUGUGGGGCCCUGGGUUCAAUCCUCAGCACUACA